This 253-nucleotide ribosomal RNA is filed under the name uncultured bacterium. RNAcentral's name for it is "partial 16S ribosomal RNA". It matches the Rfam family "Bacterial small subunit ribosomal RNA", at positions 524 to 776 of the family's 1533-position model. The record is from RNAcentral.
UACGAAGGGGGCUAGCGUUGCUCGGAAUCACUGGGCGUAAAGCGCACGUAGGCGGCUUUCUAAGUCAGGGGUGAAAUCCCGGAGCUCAACUCCGGAACUGCCUUUGAUACUGGAGAGCUUGAGUUCGGGAGAGGUGAGUGGAACUGCGAGUGUAGAGGUGAAAUUCGUAGAUAUUCGCAAGAACACCAGUGGCGAAGGCGGCUCACUGGCCCGGUACUGACGCUGAGGUGCGAAAGCGUGGGGAGCAAACAGG